This 407-nucleotide ribosomal RNA is filed under the name uncultured bacterium. Its description in RNAcentral is "partial 16S ribosomal RNA". It matches the Rfam family "Bacterial small subunit ribosomal RNA", at positions 30 to 526 of the family's 1533-position model. The record is from RNAcentral.
AUUGAACGCUGGCGGCAGGCCUAACACAUGCAAGUCGAGCGGAGCGGCGGACGGGUGAGUAAUGCCUAGGAAUCGGCCUGGUAGUGGGGGAUAACGUCCGGAAACGGGAGCUAAUGCCGCAUACUCUCAGAUUAGCAUAGGUCGGAGUAGCUAGUUGGGGGGGUAAAGGCCUCCCAAGGCGACGACCCAUAACUGGUCUGAGAGGAUAAUCAGUCACACUGGAACUGAGACACGGGCCAGACUCCUAAGGGAGGCAGCAGUGGGGAAUAUUGGACAAUGGGCGCAAGCCUGAUCCAGCCAUGCCGCGUGUGUGAAGAAGGUCUUCGGAUUGUAAAGUACUUUAAGUUGGGAGGCGUUACCAACAGAAGAAGCACCGGCUAACUUCGUGCCAGCAGCCGCGGUAAUUC